This 303-nucleotide ribosomal RNA is filed under the name uncultured bacterium. Its description in RNAcentral is "partial 16S ribosomal RNA". It matches the Rfam family "Bacterial small subunit ribosomal RNA", at positions 507 to 807 of the family's 1533-position model. The record is from RNAcentral.
AGCAGCAGCCGCGGUAACACGUAGGGUGCGAGCGUUAAUCGGAAUUACUGGGCGUAAAGCGUGCGCAGGCGGUUCGUUAAGACAGAUGUGAAAUCCCCGGGCUUAACCUGGGAACUGCAUUUGUGACUGGCGAGCUAGAGUAUGGCAGAGGGGGGUAGAAUUCCACGUGUAGCAGUGAAAUGCGUAGAGAUGUGGAGGAAUACCGAUGGCGAAGGCAGCCCCCUGGGCCAAUACUGACGCUCAUGCACGAAAGCGUGGGGAGCAAACAGGAUUAGAUACCCGCGUAGUCCCUGUCUCUUAUAC